GCCCUUGUAGCUCAGUGGCAGAGCACUCCCUUGGUAAGGGAGAGGCCGGCAGUUCAAUCCUGCCCAAGGGCACCA
This 75-nucleotide transfer RNA is filed under the name Burkholderia ubonensis. RNAcentral describes it as "tRNA-Thr". It matches the Rfam family "tRNA". From Rfam's summary of the family: Transfer RNA (tRNA) molecules are approximately 80 nucleotides in length. Their secondary structure includes four short double-helical elements and three loops (D, anti-codon, and T loops). Lineage: Bacteria; Pseudomonadati; Pseudomonadota; Betaproteobacteria; Burkholderiales; Burkholderiaceae. The record is from RNAcentral.